UCCACCGAUAAAUCAGGAGUGUCAUUUCUCCCCUCGGGGGCCGACAGUUACCAUUUUGAGUGGAGCCAGUAUCAGGAUGACAUAGCGGACCUCGCAGCAGUUCUCCCCCCAGUUCUGCGGCCUCUCCAGGCGGGAGAUGCACACGUGACGCCUCUGGAGAUGCUUCACGUUGCAGCUGGAGCAGAGAGAGAGAGAGAGGAGAGAGGAGGAGGUUUUUUUAUAAAUGUCAACGGCUCACCUCGACAGCAGCACCCUUCAUUUCCGAAGAUUAACCUCUUUCUCUGCAGCGACAGGAUGCAGAGCCAUGACUGCUGAUACUGGACCCCGGUGGCAGUGGCCGUCACUCCCUGGAUCGUCUCUGACAGCAGGUGGACUGUGGAGGAGGGGGAAGUCAGCGGUCAGACACAGGUUAACAGAGAUCGACCUGGAGUCUAGUCUGAUCCUCUCCGUCUUAUUCUCCUGCUGCACAGCGUUGAACUCUCUCUGGUGUGUGUGAGCCCUAAUUGCUCCAACACUGCAUGUCCUUCUCCCACUUUGGAACACUUUAACUAACCCUAGAUGUAUAUCUUAUGUUCAUUUCCACAUGUUAUCAGAAGUUGAUGAUGGUGGUUACUUCAUGUAUGUCACUGAUGAUGUUUGAGAUCUGUCCCUGGUUUAAGUUUCAGCACACAUUAUUGUUUCAUGUAUGAGAAAGCUGGUUUGUGAGGAGGGAACAUUGGUGCAUCUUUCUCAGCCUUACGCUCAGCCUUAACUUUUGGUUUCAUGGAUGCAUUUGUUGAUUCUCUUACUCCCUCUCUCUUUAGUUAAAGUGAUCUUCAUGCUUUUUCUCUCUUAUUUUGGUUUGAGCUUACAGAGUCGCCUCACAGCUCCUGUGAGGGGGUUUUAAUUGUUCAUAAAAUAGACUUGAAUUAACACUAAUGCUUCUUUACGAGCUACGAAAGCAAAUAAAAAGACCACUGGGAGGAAGGUUGGCUAAUUCUA
Molecule: long non-coding RNA, 981 nt
Organism: Notolabrus celidotus (New Zealand spotty)
Lineage: Eukaryota; Metazoa; Chordata; Actinopteri; Labriformes; Labridae
Exons: 2
Source: RefSeq, a predicted model, not a curated record